Molecule: non-coding RNA, 184 nt
Filed under: Psychromonas ingrahamii 37
Lineage: Bacteria; Pseudomonadati; Pseudomonadota; Gammaproteobacteria; Alteromonadales; Psychromonadaceae
Description: 6S / SsrS RNA
Rfam family: 6S / SsrS RNA
About the family: E. coli 6S RNA was the first non coding RNA to be sequenced, but its function was unknown until recently.
Source: Rfam by way of RNAcentral
UCAACCCUCGGAUAUCCGCUCUUCUUGACUACGUCUCUGAGCCGAUAAUUAUAAUCCCGGUGACUUGGCUUGAAUGCUACUGUGCAAGCUCGGCUCGUAUCGAGAAGCCUACGGCAAACACUAAGACACCUACCUUGACCUUCGGGUUCAGGUCUACAGUCAAUAACGAUAUCCUUGGGUUACU